CUAACACACGUUGUGCAUGGCAACAGAUGGGAAGUAUAUGCCAAUCAUGCAUCUACAGCUACAUUGAAGAUGACAUCCUUGAAGAUGACUCACUAAUAGCCCAGAAUGACAACAGGGAUGAAGAGCUGAACGAUGACCUUUUGUGUAGCGAUGAGGAGGACCUAACUGCUGG
Long non-coding RNA from Electrophorus electricus (electric eel), 172 nucleotides. RefSeq lists it as uncharacterized. NCBI's taxonomy places the organism in Eukaryota, Metazoa, Chordata, Actinopteri, Gymnotiformes, Gymnotidae. The record is from RefSeq and is a predicted model, not a curated record.